This 577-nucleotide long non-coding RNA is filed under the name Androctonus crassicauda. The record is from RNAcentral. Lineage: Eukaryota; Metazoa; Arthropoda; Arachnida; Scorpiones; Buthidae.
GACCUGUUCCAAGUGACCAAACACUGAUGAUCAAUAUUAUUUCACUUCAUGGCCAUCAUGAGGUAACCACAAUGCAUUAUGGACAACUCUGUCAAAAAACCAAUACAUAUUCUGAGCAUUUUGAAACAAUCACAGACCAUUCUAAAACAGAUUCAGAGCAUGUGUCUGUAGCAAUACAUUCCAUGUAAGGUGGCUGGAUGGCCACAUGGUGACAUGUUGGAGUGCCACACAGAAGGAUCUGGGUCUUGUGCUCCUGAAAAGUUUUUGGAGUUCUGGGCCCAGUCUGGUGAUCCCUGUCCUUUACCAUGUGGUCCCCCAUCACAGGAAUGAGUGCAACUCAUGGUUGGAACCGGCUCUGCUUCUUAGUAAUUAUAUGAUUGGAAAGGAAUGUAAAAUAAUAAAAAAAAGUGUGCUCCAUGUUAGUAAUAGUAGAAUUCCACUACUGGCAACUGAAUUUUGACCAUUUAGCAGUAUGUCUGCAAUGGCAACUAAUUCGUGAUAAAGGAGUGACAUUUUGGACAUUUGGUCAUGGGACUUCAAUUAUAUGUAUUUUAAUACUUUCAUUUUUAAAUCAUAA